CGGGCCACUUCAAGGAAUCUAGACUGCUUCAACCUGUUGGAUGCUCCCACUCCUCUCCCACGGCUUGAAUGCCUAGCCCUCAGUGACACCAUGGCACGAUUCCACCACAGCCGAAGCAGUAGUAGAAACUGCCGUUGGAUGAGGAAACAAAGGCCUCGUGGUGGGGGCUCCGGGCGACGGGGCAGGGGCAGGAGAAGGGGAAAAGGUGGCCGAAAGAGGAGAGGUUGUAGAGGAAAGGGAAGUAGAAGGAGAAGGAGAAGAAGACACUAAAUUUGAGUAGGACUCAUGACUGAAAUCUCUUGUUCCAACCAAGGCAAAUUUCCUCUUCAGUGUUUUUCAGCAGCAAAUGAACGACAAUCCUGCAAUAAAGCCUGAAAUGUUGUCACAGCACUUAAACAAA
Molecule: long non-coding RNA, 400 nt
Organism: Crotalus tigris (Tiger rattlesnake)
Lineage: Eukaryota; Metazoa; Chordata; Lepidosauria; Squamata; Viperidae
Exons: 2
Source: RefSeq, a predicted model, not a curated record